Molecule: ribosomal RNA, 429 nt
Filed under: uncultured bacterium
Lineage: Bacteria
Description: bacterial SSU rRNA
Rfam family: Bacterial small subunit ribosomal RNA
Source: RNAcentral
GGGCCCGCACAAGCGGUGGAGCAUGUGGUUUAAUUCGAUGAUACGCGAGGAACCUUACCAGGGCUUAAAUGCAGAACGACAGAGGUGGAAACACCUCCUUCUUCGGACGGUCUGCAAGGUGCUGCAUGGUUGUCGUCAGCUCGUGCUGUGAAGUGUCGGGUUAAGUCCCAUAACGAGCGCAACCCCUAUUUCUAGUUGCCAGCGGUUCGGCCGGGGACUCUAGAGAAACUGCCAGCGUAAGCUGUGAGGAAGGUGGGGAUGACGUCAAAUCAUCACGGCCCUUACGUCCUGGGCCACACACGUGCUACAAUGGUGAGGACAGAGAGUCGCCAACCCGCGAGGGUGAGCUAAUCUUCAAACCUCAUCUCAGUUCGGAUCGAAGUCUGCAACUCGACUUCGUGAAGUUGGAAUCGCUAGUAAUCGCAGAUC